CAUGGUUAAGUGGGAAACGAUGUGGGAAGGCCCAGACAGCCAGGAUGUUGGCUUAGAAGCAGCCAUCAUUUAAAGAAAGCGUAAUAGCUCACUGGUCGAGUCGGCCUGCGCGGAAGAUGUAACGGGGCUAAACCAUGCACCGAAGCUGCGGCAGCGACGCUGAUGCGUUGUUGGGUAGGGGAGCGUUCUGUAAGCCUGCGAAGGUGUGCUGUGAGGCAUGCUGGAGGUAUCAGAAGUGCGAAUGCUGACAUAAGUAACGAUAAAGCGGGUGAAAAGCCCGCUCGCCGGAAGACCAAGGGUUCCUGUCCAACGUUAAUCGGGGCAGGGUGAGUCGACCCCUAAGGCGAGGCCGAAAGGCGUAGUCGAUGGGAAACAGGUUAAUAUUCCUGUACUUGGUGUUACUGCGAAGGGGGGACGGAGAAGGCUAUGUUGGCCGGGCGACGGUUGUCCCGGUUUAAGCGUGUAGGCUGGUUUUCCAGGCAAAUCCGGAAAAUCAAGGCUGAGGCGUGAUGACGAGGCACUACGGUGCUGAAGCAACAAAUGCCCUGCUUCCAGGAAAAGCCUCUAAGCAUCAGGUAACAUCAAAUCGUACCCCAAACCGACACAGGUGGUCAGGUAGAGAAUACCAAGGCGCUUGAGAGAACUCGGGUGAAGGAACUAGGCAAAAUGGUGCCGUAACUUCGGGAGAAGGCACGCUGAUAUGUAGGUGAAGUCCCUCGCGGAUGGAGCUGAAAUCAGUCGAAGAUACCAGCUGGCUGCAACUGUUUAUUAAAAACACAGCACUGUGCAAACACGAAAGUGGACGUAUACGGUGUGACGCCUGCCCGGUGC
Molecule: ribosomal RNA, 831 nt
Filed under: Escherichia coli
Lineage: Bacteria; Pseudomonadati; Pseudomonadota; Gammaproteobacteria; Enterobacterales; Enterobacteriaceae
Description: partial 23S ribosomal RNA
Rfam family: Bacterial large subunit ribosomal RNA
Source: RNAcentral